GUGGGAGUUUGUGAAAACACACUUUUUAUUCCCCCUCAAAAGCCUUCAGGCCUCAGUUGGGCAUCAGAUAAUGGAAAAAACCAUCGGGCUGAGGAGAUGAGACGCACUGCUUACUCCACAAGGUCCGUGAUGAGAAGGCCUGGGCAGCCAGUAGAGAUUCUGUUGCCCCCAAGGGACACGUGGCAACGUUUGAAGACGUACUUUGUUGUCACAGUUGGUGGGGGCUGCUACUAGCAUCUAGCGGGUGGCGGCCACGGAUGCGCUCAACAUCCCACAAUGCACAAGACAGCCCCCCCACAAAGGAUGAUCCAGCCCCCAAAGCCAAAAGUGCUGAGAUGAGAGAUCCCUGGACUAGCGUCUCCUAGAACUUAGGAACCAAGGCUGGGCACUGUGAUGGCCUGGAGUGAUUUUCUAGAAGAUUGUGGAAGGCAGCAUCUUAGGGCAGAUUUGUUACUGCCCGCCAGGGCCACCUGGUUAAGAAGGGGCUCUGUCCUGGACCAGAGAGACAUGCCCUGCUUGUUCAGAGCUGUUCAGAUAUUCCGGGUCAAAACCAACUCAGACACAUCCUGAGACACGUCACUGUUGGGGAGAGGCAGCUUUUGACACCAGGUAGGGACGGGCAGUGGACCGAGGACAGGGCAGGUAUGAGAGAAAGAGCAGAGGCUGGUGUCAGCCCCCAAAGGCCAAAUUCAGGUUGGCGGGGACCAUCUGGGUCGAGUCCCUGGGGGCCGGGCCCCUCCCUCAGCCUCUCCAAUCUGCUUGCCUCCAUCCGAGCUCCCAGCCUUUAAUUCUCCGGUCAGACAGCACAUUUGGAUGUGGGGGACUUUACGAGGGUUGAGGGAAGACAGGGAGUACGGACAGGUCAUGUAGGAAGCCCAGAGGAAUAUUUUUUUCCCUUUGUCACCUGCAGGCAGUCUCAGAUUAACUUGCCAAUUCAGAAAGAAGGCUUUAAGGGUAAGGUGGGCACAGUGACAUCCUGCAGGUCAGGGGCAGUGGCGAUGGAAAUAUAUAAGCAAACAUGGUCGGUUUUCCUAAGGGCAUGAAUUAAAAGGCCAGCCUGGGGGCUGAUGCUGGAGGGGUGAAGGGCCCGGACAUCCAGCUUGCCCAUCCUGGCGGGAACCGUCUACCCCAUGAUCUAGGUCAGAGAUCUCACUUGUUUUGGACUCAGGGCAAAACCUGACCUUCUUUUGGAAGCCCAAAGCAGGUGGCUGCUGAGAGAGUGUUUGGCAAGAAAAUCCUGUGUUCUAGGGCCAAUGACUAUUGGCCUGGGGUCAGUUCUCUUUCUGUGCAGCUAGGCAUGGCUGGACCUUGGAAGGACUCACCCUGUUGACUCGGAGAGAAGUUGGCUAGCUUGUUAGUACUGCAAACUCAUCUUUCUCUUGAGCCUGUUUUUUUCUCACGAGACCCCUUUCUCAGCUUUGAGGCAAGACUCUAGAUUUUUUCUUGGUUCUCAUCCCCCACAACAGAUGGGUCUCCAGGUCCUGUUGACUCAACUCCUGGAAUCUCUUUAUCACUACAUCUGUCUCUCCCCUCCUUCAAGCCUUGGUUACUGCAAUAACCUACCCAUAGUUCAAUGGGCCAGCCAUCCACGCUCUAUGCCGCAGCCAGAACAUUCUUUUCCAAGCAUAACUCCAAUCACCUUAUUUUCCCCCUUUAAAAAACACUUAAGGAUUCCGCAUUGUCUACCAAAUAAAGUCAAAAUUCCCUGACACGCCCUCCAUCUCUACCCACCGUCUGGUCCCUGCCCAUCUUCCCAGUGUCUCUCUCCCCACCCCCACCAUCCUCAGCUUUCUAGAGCUGGGCUACAUCUGAAGCCAGCCCUGAUUUACCCUGCCCACCCCCCAGUCCAGGCCUUUCCUCUCACUGCUCCUGCUUCCUGGCAAUCUUGUCUCCCCAAGCCCACCGGUGGGAACCCACUCAUUUCUCAAACCCCAG
Molecule: long non-coding RNA, 1935 nt
Organism: Equus caballus (horse)
Lineage: Eukaryota; Metazoa; Chordata; Mammalia; Perissodactyla; Equidae
Source: Ensembl